This 412-nucleotide ribosomal RNA is filed under the name uncultured bacterium. RNAcentral describes it as "bacterial SSU rRNA". It matches the Rfam family "Bacterial small subunit ribosomal RNA", at positions 774 to 1196 of the family's 1533-position model. The record is from RNAcentral.
AGAGAAUAGAUACCCUGGUAGUCCACGCCCUAAACAAUGAUCACUCGAUGUCGGGGGAUUCGACCCCUUCGGUGUCUAAAGUUAAACACGAUAAGUGAUCCGCCUGGGUAGUACGAUCGCAAGAUUAAAACUCAAAGGAAUAGACGGGGACCCGCACAAGCGGUGGAGCAUCUGGUUUAAUUCGACAGUAAACGAAGAACCUCACCAAGACUUGACAUCCCGAGAAGAUUGUCGAAAGACGAUUGUGCCGCAAGGAACUCGGUGACAGGUGCUGCAUGGUUGUCGUCAGCUCGUGCCUUGAGGUGUUCGGUUAAGUCCGUAAACGAGCGCAACCCAUGUCAUAUGUUGAAUUUUUCAUAUGAGACUGCCGGCUCCAAGUCGGAGGAAGGUAUGGAUGACGUCAAAUCAGCAU